GGAAGCCCGGGCAUCCCAGCUAUUCCGACUCGGCCGGCUUCACCUUUGUCUCCCUUCUGCUCACACAAACACAUAUCAAACACUGCACCUUGGAUCCUGGUGUGCCUGGUAGCCCAUCCAGUCCAUCACUCCCAGUGCCGGACCCGCCCUGUGAAGAGGGCACACUUGCAUUUUAAAGGCCACCAUGGACCUGAUAUUGGAUCUCAAGCCCCAACGAAUGUUAUCACAUUCAACAUUAAUCCUAUCAAUGGGACACCACACACGUACCAGUGAUUUGCCAGGGGGUCCAGGCUUUCCUUCAGGACCCUGUGGAGAUGGAGAAACAGAUGAUGAAAGAGGGAGCAAAUGCUGGCCGAUCUUCCCCAACUCGCCCUUCUCUCCCGGAUCUCCUGGCCGCCCGGGCAGACCUAGUGGGCCCUACAUCAAAGGAGAUGAGAACAAGAGAACAGGAGAACCGGAGAACAUGAGAACAGGAGAACCGGAGAACAGGAGAAAACGAGAACAGGAGAACAUGAGAACCGGAGAACAGGAGAACAUGAGAACAGGAGAACAGGAACAGAGCAGCAGGGUUAUCGGAUGGAUAUCAGGAUGAGCUCAUGCUUGAACUACCGCCUGUCCUCACAGCAAUGGAGGACAAGAGUGGACAAAGGACAGAGUGGACAAAGUGACUCUGCUCAUGUAACACAGCCAAUGAUGAUCACAAACAACAUCCCUGUAGCAUAAUUAAUGCUAUUGCAUGACGAGCAUACUGCAUAACCCCCCCCUCCAUGCCACAGCCGAACUGUGGCCACUCUUAUACAUUUUCUUUAAAUAGUUAAAUAUAUAGAUAUAUA
This is a long non-coding RNA of Alosa sapidissima (American shad), 833 nucleotides long. RefSeq lists it as uncharacterized. NCBI's taxonomy places the organism in Eukaryota, Metazoa, Chordata, Actinopteri, Clupeiformes, Clupeidae. The transcript has 3 exons. The record is from RefSeq and is a predicted model, not a curated record.